UAUUCUUCUUGGUCUUAUGGCUAAGAUUAAAUAUAAUAUUUGUUCUUGUCAGUUAAUAUUUGAUACGUUCCCUAUCAUAAAGUUAAAAUAUUAUUUGAUUUUUCGAACCGGCCGGAAUAAAU
This is a small nuclear RNA of Apis cerana (Asiatic honeybee), 122 nucleotides long. RefSeq annotates it as U2 spliceosomal RNA. NCBI's taxonomy places the organism in Eukaryota, Metazoa, Arthropoda, Insecta, Hymenoptera, Apidae. The record is from RefSeq and is a predicted model, not a curated record.